GCGACCCCAGGUCAGGUGGGACUACCCGCUGAGUUUAAGCAUAUCAUA
RNAcentral lists this ribosomal RNA (48 nucleotides) under Tagetes lucida. Its description in RNAcentral is "partial 26S ribosomal RNA". The record is from RNAcentral. Lineage: Eukaryota; Viridiplantae; Streptophyta; Magnoliopsida; Asterales; Asteraceae. RNAcentral also lists the same sequence under 2 other names.